Molecule: unclassified non-coding RNA, 377 nt
Filed under: uncultured bacterium
Lineage: Bacteria
Description: contains 16S-23S intergenic spacer region
Source: RNAcentral
UCCGGUUUGUCACCGGCAGUCUUGCAUGAGUCCCCGGCCGAACCGCUGGCAACAUGCAACGGGGGUUGCGCUCGUUGCGGGACUUAACCCAACAUCUCACGACACGAGCUGACGACAGCCAUGCACCACCUGUGACAGUGCCCCGAAGGGAGGGUGUGUUUCCACACCUGUCACUGACAUGUCAAGCCCAGGUAAGGUUCUUCGCGUUGCGUCGAAUUAAACCACAUGCUCCAUUGUUUGUGUGGGUUUUUGUUAAUUUUUUUGAGUUUUAGUCUUGUGGCCGUAGUUUCCAGGCGGAGUGCUUAACGCGUUAGCUACGGCACCUCAGGGGUCAAUACCCGAGACACCUAGCACUCAUCGUUUACGGCGUGGACUAC